Molecule: ribosomal RNA, 995 nt
Filed under: uncultured bacterium
Lineage: Bacteria
Description: bacterial SSU rRNA
Rfam family: Bacterial small subunit ribosomal RNA (bases 169-995)
Source: RNAcentral
UGGCCGGGCUUUUUUUCCGGCCCCCCACUCUCUGGGGGGGGACCCCCCGGGUAAAAACCCCCGGGAGGGCGGCUUUUGCGGUUUAUUGGGAAACCCAGGGCCAUGUUGGGGACCCCGGGGCGCCAUCUCGGGCAUGGAUUUGCAGGGAACUUUUCAACCGUUGAGAGCCUGUUUAACAUUCUGGAGAAGGUUGUAUCUGGUGAGCGUCGGAAUAAGCGGUAUCGUCACACCGUAUAUAGUCCACGUAUGAAUCUGGCUAAAGUGCAGCGUUGCAAGCGAUGAUUCCGACUUACUGGAAUCAUGGGCUCCGCUGAUGUCAGAGGGGUAGAUCCCGGUACAUGAAUGGUAGAGAUGUGGGGAUCCGAUGCGAGCAGCCCCUGGAUACAUGCGUCAUGCCGAAAGGUGGGACAACAGAUUAGAUACCUGGUAGUCCACCCCUAACGAUGUCAACUAGUUGUUGGGAUUCAUUUCUUAGUACGUAGCUACGCGUGAAGUUGCCGCUGGGGAGUACGGUCGCAAGAUUAAACUCAAAGGAAAUGACGGGGACCCGCACAAGCGGUGGAUGAUGUGGAUUAUUCGAUGCAACGCGAAAAACUUACCUACCCUUGACAUGCCACUAUCGAAGCAGAGAUGCAUUAGGUGCUCGAAAGAGAAAGUGGACACAGGUGCUGCAUGGCUGUCGUCAGCUCGUGCCGUGAGAUGUUGGGUUAAGUCCCGCAACGAGCGCAACCCUUGUCUCUAGUUGCUACGAAAGGGCACUCUAGAGAGACUGCCGGUGACAAACCGGAGGAGGGUGGGGAUGACGUCAAGUCCUCAUGGCCCUUAUGGGUAGGGCUUCACACGUCAUACAAUGGUGCAUACAGAGGGUUGCCAAGCCGCGAGGUGGAGCUAAUCCCAGAAAAUGCAUCGUAGUCCGGAUCGUAGUCUGCAACUCGACUACGUGAAGCUGGAAUCGCUAGUAAUCGCGGAUACACGCAUGCCUCGGUAUUCCCCCG